RNAcentral lists this ribosomal RNA (216 nucleotides) under Glomeromycotina sp. RNAcentral's name for it is "partial small subunit ribosomal RNA". The stretch from base 40 to 216 matches the Rfam family "Eukaryotic small subunit ribosomal RNA", at positions 686 to 864 of the family's 1831-position model. The record is from RNAcentral. Lineage: Eukaryota; Fungi; Glomeromycota.
GGGUCAGUAGGUUGGUCGUGCCACCGGUACGUACUGGUCUCACUGAUUCCUCCUUCCUGAAGAACCGUAAUGCUAUUAAUUUGGUGUCGCGGGGAAACAGGACUGUUACUUUGAAAAAAUUAGAGUGUUUAAAGCAAGCUAACGCUUGAAUACAUUAGCAUGGAAUAAUGAAAUAGGACGAUCGAUCCUAUUUUGUUGGUUUCUAGGAUUGACGUA